Molecule: long non-coding RNA, 2110 nt
Organism: Scophthalmus maximus (turbot)
Lineage: Eukaryota; Metazoa; Chordata; Actinopteri; Pleuronectiformes; Scophthalmidae
Exons: 4
Source: RefSeq, a predicted model, not a curated record
AUGCAGUGUGUUUGUCGCACAUGGGACUGAUCUCCAUCCCUCGCUCCCGUUCCUUAUCCCCCUGCCUGAAGAACUCCUGCAUGAUUCUCUCCGUCCAUUGUCGAUACACAGCCAGGGGUUUCGUAGGAUUGCUCAGGUUCUGGAAGAUGUCACAGUUGUCCUCGUGAAGCAGCUUGAAGCCCACAGCGAGGUGAUGGUUCUCCAACACAGACUCAUCAUUAUACAUGAGGGCUAACUCUGAGUCUGAGGGGGGAACAAAACAACAACAACAACAACAUGUGUGCACCUUGUUGGAGGCCAUCUCGCUGACGGAGCGGUGGGUCUGAAUGGUCUCCAGCUGGUCCAGACACCAGUCCAGCUCCUCCAGAGUCUCCCGAGCCAUCUGCUGGACUGACACUCUUUCACCAUCAUCCGGUGAUGCUGACUCUCUGCCAGUCAGUUCUUUGGCGAGAGAAGCGUCCCGGGGCAGUGACACCUCAGAGGAGAAGCUGGCAUCACCGGCUCCCCGCUCUUCAUCCGCGUCUGUCCGGUGCCAAGUGCGGUCUCCCAGGUGCGCCCCCUCCUCGCGCACAGCUCCGACCAGUUGUGAGUUCUCGAUCUGAACCAGACUCUCCGUGUGCGCUCCCCUGACGCACCUCACAUUAGUCUGACACGGCGCUCUGCUCGACAGGUGUAUGCUACUUGUUCUUUCUGCUCCACUGUGUGUGUGUGUGUGAUGCACACUGACACACAGCUGACAGGGGGUUUGUCAGUCUCAAGUCAUUUCAGACAGAUCUGCACUAAGACAGCAGCCCAAAGCGCUUUUUCAGCGGGGUCGUCCCCUCGGUGGCGUCACUGUGCGACACAGCACCGGAGACCGCCGGCUAUUUGUGAAGUAUGUCGGUCUGUCUCACCUACUGGGAAGCAACACAACAUUCUCAUUCACACAUUUGGUCGCGUAAGGAAAUCUAAGGCGGCACCAGCGUCAUACCACAGUUUUCUCGCAAAGCAGAGCUGUCUGCUGAGAGGUGAAAGACUGUACCUCUUGUUUCCAAAUUGAAUAUGCUGCACAUUUUGACAUCUCAGCCAUGAAGGCUCGGUUUGAAGUGGUUGACUUGGAUUCCUCACAGAGCCUAUGGGCUUAGAGAAUAAAUUACUAUUUCUACUGCUGAGCUUUAUAUAUUUUUUUUUUGUGUGUGUCAGAUGAAAAAUAAAUGCAAGGAAAGAUAUUGUUAUGAAUUCACACGGGGUGGGUUUUAGUGCACAUUUUCAUCUGACAGCAUAAUUACCUGCGCCAAGGAGGGGAUGUUUUCACAACUGUCCGUUCCUGCAUCUUUUCUUGAACAUUAUGAGUUUUGUUUUUGACAUUUUCAUAGAUUUUCCAUGCAUCCUGAUGGGAAAUUUAGACAAACUAAGGGAACUGAUAUAUAUGAGUGUGUGCAGUUCGCUGCCGCUUGAUUGAGUUUAAGGGGACUGUUGGGCCUUGCCGGGGGUAUGCGCUCUACUGACGGUCUUUCUUGCUGUUAACUGUUUUACCGUCAAAUAAGGCUUCCCUUUGACGUGCAGGUCUGUUUGAACUCAUUCUUAAACAGGAGCUAAUUUUUUAUUCAACGCCCAACAGUCCCCUUUAAAUUCCAUCACGCUGCACCCAAUCGGUGCCCUAUCUUGCAAUCCCACAGGGAUAAUAAUGGGUUCUUUCUUGCGCCUGGCCCAUCCUUCCACCAAGUUUUGUGGAAAUCCAAUCAGCAGUUCCUGUGUAAUCCUGGUGACAAACCAACCAACCAACCAACCAACCAACCAACAGACCAAUCAACAAACCAGCCAGUCAACCAGAGUGCAUACCCCCACCACGGCCCAACUGUCCCCUUCGACCCAAUCAAGCUGCACCACAUUGCCCACACGCAAAGUUAUUAGUUCCCUUAAAUAUGACAGAUUUUCAAGAUCCACCUAGGAAAUUUGUAUAAAUGUCAAAAACUCUUGCAAUGUUAAAGAAAGUGAAUAAAAACAUCCUGAAUUUGUGGGGGAUUUGAGUGGGUUCUUACUUGGCCCAUGUUCCAUUCUUCCACCAAGUUUCAUGGAAAUCUGUGCAACAGCUUUUUUGCGUAAUCCCGCUGGCAAACAACAAACACAC